RNAcentral lists this ribosomal RNA (461 nucleotides) under uncultured bacterium. Its description in RNAcentral is "partial 16S ribosomal RNA". It matches the Rfam family "Bacterial small subunit ribosomal RNA", at positions 338 to 795 of the family's 1533-position model. The record is from RNAcentral.
CCUACGGGAGGCAGCAGUGAGGAAUAUUGGUCAAUGGGCUUACGCCUGAACCAGCCAAGUCGCGUGAGGGAAGACUGCCCUAUGGGUUGUAAACCUCUUUUGUCAGGGAGCAAUUGGCGCUACGUGUAGCGUUAUCGAGAGUACCUGAAGAAAAAGCAUCGGCUAACUCCGUGCCAGCAGCCGCGGUAAUACGUAGGAGGCAAGCGUUAUCCGGAAUGACUGGGCGUAAAGGGUGCGUAGGUGGUUUGACAAGUUGGUAGCGUAACUCCGGAGCUCAACUUCGGAACUACUACCAAAACUGUUGGACUCGAGUGCAGGAGGGGCAACUGGAAUUUCUAGUGUAGCGGUGGAAUGCGUAGAUAUUAGGAAGAACACCGGUGGCGAAGGCGAGUUGCUGGACUGUAACUGACACUGAGGCACGAAAGCGUGGGGAGCAAACAGGAUUAGAUACCCGAGUAGUC